Molecule: long non-coding RNA, 330 nt
Organism: Dicentrarchus labrax (European seabass)
Lineage: Eukaryota; Metazoa; Chordata; Actinopteri; Moronidae
Exons: 4
Source: RefSeq, a predicted model, not a curated record
CGAUGCUGGGAAGUGAGGGAGUUGCUCAUUACAACAGAGCAGCUUUUUGUUAAGUUACGGCCUCCUGUGUCUCCUUGUCCAUGACUUGCAGACCUCCAUGAGCCUGACAAGACAGAGGACUGCACGCAAGAUUACAUCAAAUCCUUCCUCCGUCCUGACAUGAUGAUUGCAACCAACGACAAAACAUAUGACAGUAGAGCCAGGCUCUCCCUGAUAAGGAUGAUGGAUGGGGCAGAACUCUGGCUCCAGCCAAGCCCGGCAGCUUCCUGGGAGCUGAGAGAUACUGAGGGGGAGGUGGGGAGAUCAUCAUCGACCGUGAGGAGUUAGCCA